This 142-nucleotide small RNA is filed under the name Paenibacillus sp. RNAcentral describes it as "c-di-AMP sequence". It matches the Rfam family "c-di-AMP riboswitch aptamer (ydaO/yuaA leader)". From Rfam's summary of the family: This family represents a conserved RNA structure found upstream of the ydaO and yuaA genes in Bacillus subtilis and related genes in other bacteria. Lineage: Bacteria; Bacillati; Bacillota; Bacilli; Caryophanales; Paenibacillaceae. The record is from RNAcentral.
UGAAUAAACAGGCCGAAUUUCGUAAUGAAAACGGGGGAACCAUUUAAUUGGGGUGAAUUUCGCUUAUGCAAGGCAGCGAAUAGGGCAACCUGUGAUAUGCCCGAAUCCGUCAGCUAACCUCGUAGGCUGUAACACAGGAACC